UCCGUAGGCGGUGUGGCAAGUCGGUAGUGAAAUCUCUCGGCUUAACUGAGAGGCUGCUGCCGAAACUGCCAUGCUCGAGUGCGAGAGAGGCGAGUGGAAUUGCGGGUGUAGCGGUGAAAUGCGUAGAUAUCCGCAGGAACAUCCGAGGCGAAAGCGGCUCGCUGGAUCGCAACUGACGCUGAGGGACGAAAGCUAGGGGAGCAAACAGGAUUAGAUACCCUGGUAGUCCUAGCCCUAAACCAUCAGGACUUGGGGUUUGCCCUGUACGGGGCGAAGUCCCGGAGCUAACGCGUUAAGUCCUGCGCCUGGGGAGUACGGUCGCAAGGCUGAA
RNAcentral lists this ribosomal RNA (331 nucleotides) under uncultured bacterium. RNAcentral describes it as "bacterial SSU rRNA". It matches the Rfam family "Bacterial small subunit ribosomal RNA", at positions 568 to 898 of the family's 1533-position model. The record is from RNAcentral.